CAGUAGCCGCGGUAAUACGUAGGCAGCGAGCGUUGUUCGGAAUUACUGGGCGUAAAGAGUGUGUAGGCGGUGCUAUAAGUUCGGUGUGAAAUCUCCCGGCUCAACUGGGAGGGUGCGCCGAAAACUGUAGUGCUCGAACGUGGGAGAGGAAAGCGGAAUUCCUGGUGUAGCGGUGAAAUGCGUAGAUAUCAGGAGGAACACCUGCGGUGUAGACGGCUUUCUGGACCAUUGUUGACGCUGAGACACGAAAGCGUGGGUAGCAAACAGGAUUAGAUACCCCCGUAGUCCCUGUCUCUUAUAC
RNAcentral lists this ribosomal RNA (301 nucleotides) under uncultured bacterium. RNAcentral's name for it is "partial 16S ribosomal RNA". It matches the Rfam family "Bacterial small subunit ribosomal RNA", at positions 509 to 807 of the family's 1533-position model. The record is from RNAcentral.